GAUGAACGCUGGCGGCGUGCCUAAUACAUGCAAGUCGAGCGAACAGACGAGGAGCUUGCUCCUCUGACGUUAUCGGCGGACGGGUGAGUAACACGUGGAUAACCUACCUAUAAGACUGGGAUAACUUCGGGAAACCGUAGCUAAUACCGGAUAAUAUAUUGAACCGCAUGGUUCAAUAGUUAAAGACGGUUUUUCUUUCACUAAUAGCUUGAUCCGCGCCGCAUUAGCUAGUUGGUAAGGUAACGGCUUACCAAGGCAACGAUGCGAAGCCGACCUGAAAGGGUGAUCGGCCACACUGGAAGUGAGACACGGUCCAGACUCCUACGGGAGGCAGCAGUAGGGAAUCUUCCGCAAUGGACGAGAGCCUGACGGAGCAACGCCGCGUGAGUGAUGAAGGUCUUCGGAUCGUAAAACUCUGUUAGUAGGAAAGAACAAAUGUGUAAGUAACUGUGCACAUAUUGACGGUACCUAAUCAGAAAGCCACGGCUAACUACGUG
This 497-nucleotide ribosomal RNA is filed under the name uncultured bacterium. RNAcentral's name for it is "partial 16S ribosomal RNA". It matches the Rfam family "Bacterial small subunit ribosomal RNA", at positions 28 to 507 of the family's 1533-position model. The record is from RNAcentral.